UUAGGAGUCUCAGUAUUCUUUAAUUACAAGAAACAUUGUAAUCAAGAUGCUUCAUUGGUAGGGUUCCUUUGCCUCAUGGUAGAGGUGGUGAGUUCUAACCUCUGCCUUCCAUCUUUUUACCUAAAAUAUUCACUCUGCAAAACUCUCUUAGGUAACAGAAAAUCGGCCAGUCCACUAAGUUGAUGCAAAACGGGGGCAGGCUUAAAGGAGUCUUGUAGAAGAACUCAAGUCUUUGUUUUAUUUUAUAGGUGGUGGGUUCAAACGUCCACAUUGCAUUGUUUACCCGACUUUUUCACUCUACAAAACUCACCCGAGUAACAUGAAACUCAUCUAAUCCGUGGAGUUAGUGCGAAACUAUGAAAGUUUAGGGGAAGUCUGGAAAAUGGUGGAUGCUGGCGUUAAUGUUCUCUUGGAUAAAUUGGUUACAUUCCUUGCAAGCGAAGGUUAUUGUUUACUUGAAUUUGAUGAACAGUUUGAGGAAACAAAGAACAAGCUUCGUAACGUGCAGAGCUAUGCCAAGGAAGCUGAUCGGGUGAAGAGAAAAGAUAGGAAAGAGAUCCUCAAGACAGUAAUGAGUGACAUAAGAGAGUUGGUAUAUGAUGCUGAGGAUGUAAUAGCAGAUUGCAAGCUUCUAUUCCUGAAAAAGGUCGAAGGGAGUGCACUGAAAUUUCUGAAUUAUUGCUCUCCUACCGUUAUGCAAUUUAUUUGUCGGAUGGUAGAGCGGUUGAGUAAAAUAAAUCAAGGAAUAAGAAAGGUGAAGGAGAGGAUACCCUACUUGGGUAUAGUGGUGGUUGGAAUAGUUGGAAUGGGUGGAAUUGGAAAAAUAUACUUGAUCAAAAGUCCUAUUUGGGUACAACAGUGAUUGGAAUAGUUGGAAUGGGUGGAAUAGGUAAAACCACGCUCGCUCAAAAGAUAUAUGGUAGUAUGCGUGAAAAACUAUUUUAAACAUUCUUUUUUGUUUUAUGUUUCUCAAAGCUUCAAAUUAGAUGGACUAUUGAAGAAGACGCUAAAGAAAAUAAACGUAGUAGAUGAAUCUAAUUGGGGCUACUGACAAAAGAAUGUAUCGUACCCAAAUUCUUUCUGAUGAAGAUAGUUGGUCCUUAUUCAGCAAAGUAGCUUUUGCAAGAAACAGAGGUAAAUGCAUGAAUUUGGACUUCGAGGGAUUUGAUAGGGAGAUAAUUGCGACAUGCGGUGGGCUUCCUUUGGCAAUCAAGAUUGGAGGUGGAAUGAUGUUGGCUAAUGGCUAUUCUAUCAAUGAAAGGAGGCGAAUAUCAGAGCACCUAAAGGAGGAGUUGGGAAGAGACGGGAAAAUGACAUUAGAGAUGGAGAAGAAUGUUUUGCAGAACUUUCUAAUAUCAAAGUAUCCAAAGGAGGAAUUCGUAAUCAGUAAGAAAGAUGAGGAGGCGAAUAUCAGAGCACCUAAAGGAGGAGUUGGGAAGAAACGGGAAAAUGACAUUAGAGAUCGGAGAAGAAUGCUUUGCAGAACUUUCUAAUAUCAAAGUAUCCAAAGGAGGAAUUCGUAAUCAGUAAGAAAGAUGAGCUGGUCAUUUCAAGGCUAGAGAUAAGCUAUGAAGAGCUCUUGGCACAUUUAAAUCCUUGCUUGUUGUGCCUUGUUAUGUAUCCUGAAGAUUUUGAAAUAUUGGUUUUCUACAUAUUAUAUGAGUGUAGGGUGAAUUUGUGAGGGUUUUGUUUGGGGAAGAAACAGGAAAAUGACAUUAGAGGUCGAGAAAAAUGCUUUGCAGAACUUUCUAAUAUAUGUUUGAUGCUAGGGCUGUCUAAAGACGUGUUUGAAAGAUGCUUCUAUUAUUCAUGCAAACUGCAUGAUAUGGUUCUGAAUAUGGUUAUAAAAAUAGCAGUGCAGAGAACAUUUGAGCGUGUUUUGUGGAGCUAGGCCCACAUUCAUUGUUCAAUCGCACUGUGUAGGAAUCUUUAGGAAUGCAGAUUAUUUUGGAGGCAGUUCCAAGCUGCCGACAUUGUUUGGGAUGAACGUUGAGAGCAGAGAGAUAAUUUCAAAUGUAAAAACAAAAGUCUGUGAGUUAAGGUUGUUGAGGGUGUUGUAUCUUUCAAUUGGAACUCUUAUGUAAUCUUCAGAUUUUAUGUAUAUAGUCACAAGAUUAGAGAA
Molecule: long non-coding RNA, 2122 nt
Organism: Magnolia sinica
Lineage: Eukaryota; Viridiplantae; Streptophyta; Magnoliopsida; Magnoliales; Magnoliaceae
Exons: 2
Source: RefSeq, a predicted model, not a curated record